GCUGAACGCGGAGCUGCGGCGGCUAUGCUGUGGAGCGGCUGCCGGCGUUUCGGGGCGCGCCUCGGCUGCCUGCCCGGCGGUCUCCGGGUCCUCGUCCAGACCGGCCACCGGAGCUUGACCUCCUGCAUCGACCCUUCCAUGGGACUUAAUGAAGAGCAGAAAGAAUUUCAAAAAGUGGCCUUUGACUUUGCUGCCCGAGAGAUGGCUCCAAAUAUGGCAGAGUGGGACCAGAAGCAUGUGUGCCUGGAUGAUUGAUAGCUUCGGAAAUGGGGAACAGAGGCACAAAUUUUGCCCACCGCUCUGUACCAUGGAGAAGUUUGCUUCCUACUGCCUCACUGAACCAGGAAGUGGGAGUGAUGCUGCCUCUCUUCUGACCUCCGCUAAGAAACAGGGAGAUCAUUACAUCCUCAAUGGCUCCAAGGUACUAGCGUGCAUCCUCCCAGAGCACUUUGGAGAUUGUUCCCAGCUUCCUCCUGACAUCCUCUGGUUCCUUCACAUCCGCGGGUUAAUACUCCCAUAGGAUUUUUAUGUGUUGGGAAGAGAACCUCUGACCAAUUUCUCUUUCCUUAUUCUCACUGUUUGUAUCUCUUCUAAUCUGAUUCCAGAUCAUUUCAUUGACUUUUGUCUAUCCUUUUUAUACUCUCUUGAACUGUAUCUCUGAUUCUGCAGUCACUGCAGCUACCUUUUACCCCACCUCAGUCUCUGUGCCAUUGGACCUUAUUGUUAGGAGGACCCAGUGGUGUUCCCAGACGCUGUGAGAACUCAAGCAUUCCCUGGUCCUUUUGCACCCCUUUUACCCCCACAGGCCUUCAUCAGUGGUGCUGGUGAGUCAGACGUCUAUGUGGUCAUGUGCCGAACAGGAGGGCCAGGCCCCAAGGGCAUCUCAUGCAUAGUUGUUGAGAAGGGGACCCCUGGCCUCAGCUUUGGCAAGAAGGAGAAAAAGGUGAGUGGCUGUUGGACAGGAAACAAUUUAGGUUAUGAGACUCUGCCACCUGCCAGCCCAACUCCUGCUCUAUUUCAGAAAACAGGUUUGCAUACUUGCUAACCUACCUUUGAAGCAGUUGCUUCUAUUAGGAUUUUCAACAGGAGCAUAUGAAAUACAACAGGGCAUUAUUAAACACUA
This 1123-nucleotide small RNA is filed under the name Pan troglodytes (chimpanzee). RNAcentral describes it as "retained intron". Lineage: Eukaryota; Metazoa; Chordata; Mammalia; Primates; Hominidae. The record is from RNAcentral.